AUCACUCACACCUUUGGUUUACGCUUACUCUUGCAAGUUGCAAGUAAUACAAAAGGCGCAUUCAGCUUCCGUUUCCCCUCUGUUUCUCUUCACUGUCUUUGUCAAUCUCUCCGUUUCAGUUUUUUAGUGUGUGCGUGCGCGAAUGAGGAUUCUCUCAAGGAGCCAAGUUCUAAAGUUUCGCUUAGCUCUUAAAUGUGGGAAAAUAUACCCUUUGUUUUGCAAGUUUUCAUCGUCCUUUUCAAAUGGGUCUCCAUCAGAAAUGUAUGGGAAAGCUAAAGUUAAUUCAUUUAUGGACGAUGCCUCCCAUUCCCAAGACAAUGCAAUCAAUUCAGAGGUCAUGAGGAAAGCAGUGCAUGAUAUAUGUCGGGUUUUGGACACCGGCACUUGGGGACCUUCUCUUGAAGAUGCCCUCAACUCGUUUGUUGAAAUGCUUCAACCAGAAUUGGUUGUUGGAGUAAUCAGGAGGUUGACGGAUGUGAAGGUGGCAUUGCAGUAUUUCAGGUGGGUGGAGGGAAAGACUGAGCUGCCACAUUGCCCCCAAGCCUACAAUGCACUUCUUAUGCUUAUGGCUAGGACCAGAAAUCUGGACUACUUGGAACAGAUUAUUGAAGAAAUGAGCAUGGCUGGAUUUGGACCCUUCAAUAAUACUUGUAUCGAAUUGGUCGCUAGUUUGGUCAAGUCGCGGAAGCUAAGAGAAGCUUUUGGUGUUAUUGAAACAAUGAGGAAGUUCAAGAUUCGCCCUGCUUAUUCAGCUUAUACAACACUGAUUGGUGCCCUCUCUGCAGCUCACGAAGCUGAUCUCAUGCUCACUCUCUUACAUCAAAUGCAGGAAAUAGGUUACGAAGUAAGCGUACAUUUGUUUACUACGCUUAUUCGUGUGUUUGCCAGGGAGGGCCGUGUUGAUGCUGCUCUAUCCUUGCUGGAUGAGAUGAAGAGCAACUCAUUUAAUGCUGACCUUGUCCUCUAUAAUGUAUGUAUUGACUGUUUUGGAAAAGUUGGUAAGGUAGAUAUGGCAUGGAAAUUCUUUCAUGAAAUGAAAUCACAAGGGUUGGUGCCUGAUGACGUGACAUAUACUAGCAUGAUUGGGGUUCUUUGCAAAGCUGAGAGGUUGGAUGAAGCUGUAGAGUUGUUUGAAGAACUUGAUAUUAAGAGGAGUGUCCCUUGUGUUUAUGCUUAUAAUACCAUGGUAAUGGGUUAUGGUUCAGUUGGGAAAUUUGAUGAAGCUUACAGCUUACUUGAGAGGCAAAGGAGAAAGGGAUGUAUACCUAAUGUAAUUGCAUAUAAUUGCAUCCUUACUUGCCUUGGAAGGAAGGGAAAAGUAGAGGAAGCAUUGAGAAUCUUUGAGGAAAUGAAAACGGAUGCAGCACCCAAUCUUCCGACUUACAAUAUUUUAAUUGACAUGCUUUGUAAGGCAGGAAAACUUGAAGCUGCUCUGAAAGUGCAGGACUCCAUGAAAGAGGCUGGCUUAUUCCCCAAUAUUAUGACUGUAAAUAUAAUGAUUGAUCGACUAUGUAAAGCUCAAAGACUUGAUGAAGCUUGCUCCAUAUUUCUAGGAUUAGAUCAUAAAGUUUGCACCCCUGACACAGUAACAUUUUGUUCACUUAUUGAUGGCUUGGGAAGACAUGGCAGGGUGAAUGAUGCCUAUAUGCUUUAUGAAAAGAUGUUAGAUUCUGCUCAGACUCCAAAUGCAGUGGUAUAUACAUCUCUGAUCAGGAACUUCUUCAAGUGUGGUAGGAAUGAAGAUGCUCACAAAAUUUAUAAGGAGAUGAUGCAUAGGGGCUGUUCUGUUGAUCUGAUGCUCCUUAAUACUUAUAUGGAUUGCGUUUUAAAAGCUGGUGAAAUUGAGAAAGGGAGAGCUUUAUUUGAAGAAAUAAAGGCUCGGGGUUUAAUUCCUAAUGUUCAGAGCUACUCAAUUUUAAUUCAUGGUCUUGUGAAAGCAGGAUUUUCAAAAGAAACAUACAAGUUGUUUUAUGAGAUGAAGGAACAAGGACUACAUUUGGACACCCGUGCUUACAACAUUGUUAUUGAUGGAUUUUGCAAGUCUGGUAAGGUCAACAAAGCUUACCAAUUGCUGGAGGAAAUGAAGACAAAGGGUCUCCAACCUACUGUUGUAACUUAUGGCUCUGUCAUUGAUGGACUUGCUAAAAUUGACAGGCUUGAUGAAUCAUAUAUGUUAUUUGAAGAAGCAAAAUCAAAAGGUGUUGAUUUGAAUGUAGUGAUCUAUAGUAGUCUUAUUGAUGGGUUUGGGAAGGUGGGCAGGAUUGAUGAGGCAUAUUUAAUUUUGGAAGAGUUGAUGCAGAAAGGUCUGACUCCAAAUACAUACACAUGGAAUUGCUUGCUUGAUGCAUUAGUGAAAGCCGAGGAAAUCGAUGAAGCUCUUGUAUGCUUCCAGAACAUGAAAAACUUGAAAUGCUCUGCCAAUGAAGUAACUUACAGCAUUAUGAUAAAUGGUCUUUGUAAGGUUAGAAAAUUUAAUAAGGCCUUUGUUUUCUGGCAAGAAAUGCAGAAACAGGGGUUAAAGCCCAAUACUAUCACAUAUACCACCAUGAUUUCAGGACUUGCUAGGGCUGGAAAUGUUCUGGAGGCAAAAGAUCUCUUUGAGAGAUUUAAGUCAAGUGGGGGCAUACCUGAUUCAGCUUGUUUUAAUGCCAUGAUAGAAGGAUUAAGCAAUGCCAAUAAGGCAAUGGACGCAUAUAUGCUUUUUGAAGAAACUCGACUUAAAGGUUGUCGUAUAUAUAGCAAAACAUGUGUUGUUCUUUUAGAUGCGUUGCAUAAGGCUGACUGCCUUGAGCAGGCAGCGAUUGUUGGUGCCGUCUUAAGGGAAAUGGCAAAGUCUCAACAUGCUACAAGAUUGUCUUGAUAACAGGUCGUACAUAUUGUAUUGGUAUUGGAAUAGAAGUCUGGCUUAUAGACCAAAUUAGGUGAGGGUCUUCUCGGAAAUUGCUUGCCGUAAUACCCCUUCCAACUAGUCAGGUGAUUUCUGAGACAAAGCGAGAGAUUUUUAAUGUCCUUAGUUCUUUGAUAAGGACCAUAAGGAUGAUAUGGUCCUAGCCUAUAGGUUGAAGCAUGGGUAUAAAUGUUCACAACUAACGAAUACAGUUAAAUUGGCAUCAUUACCAGCACGGAUACUGCAAAUCUGUGGAUUAUGGAUUUUCAUCCUUAUUUAUUUUGAAAACGUAAUCAUGAUUUAUUUUAAAGUGUACUUUUAAUGUGUGUAUAAAUUUUGUUGCAGGGGGCAAGUUCCCAAUCGAUACCCUUGUAAUUUUUAUUUCCCAUUGUUGAAGGAUAUUUACUCAAAUUUCACUGGCAAUGGACUGUCUUCAGGUUCUUUCUAUACUGUGAGUUGAUUCAAAAUUGGAGGCUAACUUUUUACUUCUCUCUUCAUCAUUUGUCUGCUGUUCUUGAAUAAUUCAUUUUCACAAUCUUUAAAUUUUCUUUAAAGUAAUUGAAACUUCAUAAAGUGUAUAUUUAUUUAUUAUUGGAAUGCAAUGAUUUUGGCAU
Cajanus cajan (pigeon pea) is the source of this 3501-nucleotide RNA transcript. It is a transcript of the gene named Tetratricopeptide repeat (TPR)-like superfamily protein, with no coding region annotated. The record is from RefSeq and is a predicted model, not a curated record. Lineage: Eukaryota; Viridiplantae; Streptophyta; Magnoliopsida; Fabales; Fabaceae.